CCCAUCGACCCCGCGGCUUGGUACCUCGAUGUCGGCUCUUCCCAUCCUGGCCCUGCAUAAGGGGCCAAGGGUGAGGCUGCUCGCCUAUUAAAGGGGAACGUGAGCUGGGUUUAGACCGUCGCGAGACAGGUCGGACUUUAUCUGCUGGGAGUGUUGGCCGCCUGAGGGGAAAGGGUCCCCAGUACGAGAGGAACGGGACGCUGCGGCCACUAGUUAACCGGUUGUCCGACAGGGCAGACGCCGGGCAGCCACGCCGUAGAGGAUAAGGGCUGAAAGCAUCUAAGCCCGAAGCCUCUCCCGAAAAUAGGCGGCC
RNAcentral lists this ribosomal RNA (313 nucleotides) under Candidatus Bathyarchaeota archaeon. RNAcentral describes it as "bacterial LSU rRNA". It matches the Rfam family "Archaeal large subunit ribosomal RNA", at positions 2570 to 2881 of the family's 2987-position model. Lineage: Archaea; Thermoproteati; Candidatus Bathyarchaeota. The record is from RNAcentral.